GACGAACGCUGGCGGCGUGCUUAACACAUGCAAGUCGAACGGAAAGGCCCUUCGGGGUACUCGAGUGGCGAACGGGUGAGUAACACGUGGGUGAUCUGCCCUUCACUUUGGGAUAAGCCUGGGAAACUGGGUCUAAUACCGAAUAGGACCACGCGCUUCAUGGUGUGUGGUGGAAAGCUUUUGCGGUGUGGGAUGGGCCCGCGGCCUAUCAGCUUGUUGGUGGGGUAAUGGCCUACCAAGGCGACGACGGGUAGCCGGCCUGAGAGGGUGACCGGCCACACUGGGACUGAGAUACGGCCCAGACUCCUACGGGAGGCAGCAGUGGGGAAUAUUGCACAAUGGGCGCAAGCCUGAUGCAGCGACGCCGCGUGCGGGAUGACGGCCUUCGGGUUGUAAACCUCUUUCACCAGGGACGAAGCGUAAGUGACGGUACCUGGAGAAGAAGCACCGGCCAACUACGUG
This 462-nucleotide ribosomal RNA is filed under the name uncultured bacterium. RNAcentral describes it as "partial 16S ribosomal RNA". It matches the Rfam family "Bacterial small subunit ribosomal RNA", at positions 28 to 507 of the family's 1533-position model. The record is from RNAcentral.